UACAAACCGAGACCUUGUGCUUCU
This 24-nucleotide non-coding RNA is filed under the name Arabidopsis thaliana (thale cress). Lineage: Eukaryota; Viridiplantae; Streptophyta; Magnoliopsida; Brassicales; Brassicaceae. The record is from RNAcentral.